GACGAACGCUGGCGGCGUGCUUAACACAUGCAAGUCGAACGGAAAGGCCCUGCUUUUGUGGGGUGCUCGAGUGGCGAACGGGUGAGUAACACGUGAGUAACCUGCCCUUGACUUUGGGAUAACUUCAGGAAACUGGGGCUAAUACCGGAUAGGAGCUCCUGCUGCAUGGUGGGGGUUGGAAAGUUUCGGCGGUUGGGGAUGGACUCGCGGCUUAUCAGCUUGUUGGUGGGGUAGUGGCUUACCAAGGCUUUGACGGGUAGCCGGCCUGAGAGGGUGACCGGCCACAUUGGGACUGAGAUACGGCCCAGACUCCUACGGGAGGCAGCAGUGGGGAAUAUUGCACAGUGGGCGGAAGCCUGAUGCAGCAACGCCGCGGGCGGGAUGACGGCCUUCGGGUUGUAAACCGCUUUCGCCUGUGACGAAGCGUGAGUGACGGUAAUGGGUAAAGAAGCACCGGCUAACUACGUG
Molecule: ribosomal RNA, 468 nt
Filed under: uncultured bacterium
Lineage: Bacteria
Description: partial 16S ribosomal RNA
Rfam family: Bacterial small subunit ribosomal RNA
Source: RNAcentral